AUUGAACGCUGGCGGCAUGCCUUACACAUGCAAGUCGAACGGCAGCACGGGAGCUUGCUCCUGGUGGCGAGUGGCGAACGGGUGAGUAAAUGCAUCGGAACGUGCCCUGAAGUGGGGGAUAACGUAGCGAAAGUUACGCUAAUACCGCAUAUUCUGUGAGCAGGAAAGCAGGGGAUCUUCGGACCUUGCGCUUUUUGGAGCGGUCGAUGUCGGAUUAGCUAGUUGGUGGGGUAAAGGCCCACCAAGGCGACGAUCCGUAGCGGGUCUGAGAGGAUGAUCCGCCACACUGGAACUGAGACACGGUCCAGACUCCUACGGGAGGCAGCAGUGGGGAAUUUUGGACAAUGGGCGCAAGCCUGAUCCAGCCAUGCCGCGUGAGUGAAGAAGGCCU
RNAcentral lists this ribosomal RNA (391 nucleotides) under uncultured bacterium. RNAcentral describes it as "bacterial SSU rRNA". It matches the Rfam family "Bacterial small subunit ribosomal RNA", at positions 30 to 417 of the family's 1533-position model. The record is from RNAcentral.